Molecule: transfer RNA, 75 nt
Filed under: Emticicia soli
Lineage: Bacteria; Pseudomonadati; Bacteroidota; Cytophagia; Cytophagales; Leadbetterellaceae
Also listed under: 2 other names
Description: tRNA-Val
Rfam family: tRNA
About the family: Transfer RNA (tRNA) molecules are approximately 80 nucleotides in length. Their secondary structure includes four short double-helical elements and three loops (D, anti-codon, and T loops).
Source: RNAcentral
GGGAGUUUAGCUCAGCUGGUUCAGAGCAUCUGCCUUACAAGCAGAGGGUCACAGGUUCGAAUCCUGUAACUCCCA